CCAUCAUGGCAGUGGAAACUGAAAGGCUUGAGUAUGGUAGGGGCAGAGGGAAUUCCCGGUGUAGCGGUGAAAUGCGUAGAUAUCGGGAAGAACACCAGUGGCGAAGGCGCUCUGCUGGGCCAUUACUGACGCUCAUGGACGAAAGCCAGGGGAGCGAAAGGGAUUAGAUACCCCUGUAGUCCUGGCCGUAAACGAUGAACACUAGGUGUCGGGGGAAUCGACCCCUUCGGUGUCGUAGCUAACGCGUUAAGUGUUCCGCCUGGGGAGUACGCACGCAAGUGUGAAACUCAAAGGAAUUGACGGGGGCCCGCACAAGCGGUGGAGUAUGUGGUUUAAUUCGAUGCAACGCGAAGAACCUUACCAGGGUUUGACAUCCUGCGAACCUCUUAGAAAUUUGAGGGUGCCUUCGGGAAUGCAGUGACAGGUGGUGCAUGGCUGUCGUCAGCUCGUGUCGUGAGAUGUUGGGUUAAGUCCCGCAACGAGCGCAACCCACGUUUUUAGUUGCCAGCAUUUAGUUGGGCACUCUAGAAAGACCGCCGGUGAUAAACCGGAGGAAGGUGUGGAUGACGUCAAGUCAUCAUGCCCCUUACACCCUGGGCUACACACGUACUACAAUGCUACGGACAAAGGGCAGCAAACUCGCGAGAGCUAGCAAAUCCCAUAAACCGUGGCUCAGUUCAGAUCGUAGGCUGCAACUCGCCUACGUGAAGUAGGAAUCGCUAGUAAUCGCAGGUCAGCAUACUGCGGUGAAUACGUUCCCGGGCCUUGUACACACCGCCCGUCACACCAUGGAAGUUGGCCAUGCCCGAAGUCGUUACUCCAACCCUUGUGGAGGAGGACGCC
Molecule: ribosomal RNA, 843 nt
Filed under: marine metagenome
Description: bacterial SSU rRNA
Rfam family: Bacterial small subunit ribosomal RNA
Source: RNAcentral